RNAcentral lists this ribosomal RNA (450 nucleotides) under uncultured bacterium. Its description in RNAcentral is "bacterial SSU rRNA". It matches the Rfam family "Bacterial small subunit ribosomal RNA", at positions 354 to 796 of the family's 1533-position model. The record is from RNAcentral.
GUGGGGAAUAUUGGACAAUGGGCGAAAGCCUGAUCCAGCCAUGCCGCGUGUGUGAAGAAGGUCUUCGGAUUGUAAAGCACUUUAAGUUGGGAGGAAGGGCAGUAAGUUAAUACCUUGCUGUUUUGACGUUACCGACAGAAUAAGCACCGGCUAACUUCGUGCCAGCAGCCGCGGUAAUACGAAGGGUGCAAGCGUUAAUCGGAAUUACUGGGCGUAAAGCGUGCGCAGGCGGCUUUGUAAGACGGAUGUGAAAGCCCCGGGCUCAACCUGGGAACUGCCUCCAAAACUGCAUGACUAGAGUACGGUAGAGGGUAGUGGAAUUUCCUGUGUAGCGGUGAAAUGCGUAGAUAUAGGAAGGAACACCAGUGGCGAAGGCGACUACCUGGACUGAUACUGACACUGAGGUGCGAAAGCGUGGGGAGCAAACAGGAUUAGAUACCCGGGUAGUCC